This 328-nucleotide unclassified non-coding RNA is filed under the name soil metagenome. RNAcentral describes it as "partial contains 5.8S ribosomal RNA, internal transcribed spacer 2, and large subunit ribosomal RNA". The stretch from base 1 to 120 matches the Rfam family "5.8S ribosomal RNA", at positions 35 to 154 of the family's 154-position model. The record is from RNAcentral.
GAUGAAGAACGUAGCGAAAUGCGAUAAGUAAUGUGAAUUGCAGAAUUCAGUGAAUCAUCGAAUCUUCGAACGCACAUUGCGCCCCUUGGUAUUCCGAGGGGCAUGCCUAUUCGAGCGUCAUUAUCACCACUCAAGCCUAGCUUGGUGUUGAGACCUGCUGUCAAGUCAGUCUCUAAAAUCAAUGGCAGUGCUGUCAGGCUCUAAGCGUAGUAAAUUCAUCGCUAUAGACACCUGGUGGCCACUCGCCAGAACCCCCCCAUUUUUUAAUGAUAGACCUCGGAUUAGGUAGGGAUACCCGCUGAACUUAAGCAUAUCAAUAAGCGGAGGA